RNAcentral lists this ribosomal RNA (240 nucleotides) under uncultured bacterium. RNAcentral describes it as "partial 16S ribosomal RNA". It matches the Rfam family "Bacterial small subunit ribosomal RNA", at positions 15 to 236 of the family's 1533-position model. The record is from RNAcentral.
GAUCAUGGCUCAGGAUGAACGCUGGCGGCGUGCUUAACACAUGCAAGUCGAACGGAACUACUUUGAUGAGAUUCUUCGGAAAGGAUUUGAUUUAGUUUAGUGGCGGACGGGUGAGUAACGCGUGGGUAACCUGCCUCAUACAGGGGGAUAACAGUUGGAAACGACUGCUAAUACCGCAUAAGCGCACAGGAUCGCAUGAUCCGGUGUGAAAAACUCCGGUGGUAUGGGAUGGACCCGCGU